This 685-nucleotide ribosomal RNA is filed under the name Listeria monocytogenes. RNAcentral describes it as "bacterial SSU rRNA". It matches the Rfam family "Bacterial small subunit ribosomal RNA", at positions 847 to 1533 of the family's 1533-position model. Lineage: Bacteria; Bacillati; Bacillota; Bacilli; Caryophanales; Listeriaceae. The record is from RNAcentral.
UGCAGCUAACGCAUUAAGCACUCCGCCUGGGGAGUACGACCGCAAGGUUGAAACUCAAAGGAAUUGACGGGGGCCCGCACAAGCGGUGGAGCAUGUGGUUUAAUUCGAAGCAACGCGAAGAACCUUACCAGGUCUUGACAUCCUUUGACCACUCUGGAGACAGAGCUUUCCCUUCGGGGACAAAGUGACAGGUGGUGCAUGGUUGUCGUCAGCUCGUGUCGUGAGAUGUUGGGUUAAGUCCCGCAACGAGCGCAACCCUUGAUUUUAGUUGCCAGCAUUUAGUUGGGCACUCUAAAGUGACUGCCGGUGCAAGCCGGAGGAAGGUGGGGAUGACGUCAAAUCAUCAUGCCCCUUAUGACCUGGGCUACACACGUGCUACAAUGGAUAGUACAAAGGGUCGCGAAGCCGCGAGGUGGAGCUAAUCCCAUAAAACUAUUCUCAGUUCGGAUUGUAGGCUGCAACUCGCCUACAUGAAGCCGGAAUCGCUAGUAAUCGUGGAUCAGCAUGCCACGGUGAAUACGUUCCCGGGCCUUGUACACACCGCCCGUCACACCACGAGAGUUUGUAACACCCGAAGUCGGUAGGGUAACCUUUAUGGAGCCAGCCGCCGAAGGUGGGACAGAUAAUUGGGGUGAAGUCGUAACAAGGUAGCCGUAUCGGAAGGUGCGGCUGGAUCACCUCCUUU